CCACCUCCACUCGAACAGAAGUUGUUUGCUGUUAGGUUACGACCAACAAAUAACUAAAUGUCAACCGAGAAAGAAAAAUAAAAAAAAACAACCAUAAACCAACAAAAACAGGCCGCUGGAUUUUUAUGGGAUCCAAGAGUCAAUCCUAGCCACACGUCUGUGAGGGUUAAAAAAACAAGACAAGCUGCCAUCAUUGAUGGCUAGCUGUUAGCUUUUAAGGCGAAGUGACUAAAAUGAAUAGUCAAGAGACUUGAUUAGAGCAGCAGGUAUCGAUUUCCAACAAAACAUUAAAAUCAAAUAAAAACAUAGAGAAGCAGCAAAAUAGGAAAGGACAUUCAUACCAAUCUCACUCCCUCACGAGAAAUCCAAACUAUCACAACGAAAUCCACUGGCCGUUGAGAAGGUAGUGCUUAAAACUCUCUUCCUAAUGCUCUAUUGUUGGUCGGUUCACCCUCCUCCUGAACUCGCUCACUUGCCUUGCCUUUUCACCUUCAACUCUGCGCCUUUGUUGCCAGUACUGAAGCGGUUUCGAGUGAUAAAGCUUAAUCUCAGGUCGGUUGCCUUCCUCAAGUGGUUGCUCCACGAAUAUUAUGAAAAUGUGGAGCUUUGAGUGACGUUCGGCAUACGUUUCUGUAGGGCAACGCUUAGGGUUUCAAAGGUCUCUAGAGCUCAAAGAAGGAAAUGCCAAAACACUUUUUUGUGUUCAGUACUGGAUUGGCCCUCUUUGAAGCUGCAAUUCGGAAAGGUACUCUUAAAGCAAGCUUUCUCUAAUCGCUUUUGCCUUAAUCCCAAAUUGGGAAAUUUCUGGAUUUUAAUGCUUUGCUGUUAAUCUUUUGUUACCGCAGUGAAAAAGGUUGCAAUGGUGAAAACGUGAUUUGGUUUGGUCUUUGCAGGUUAUGGCUGGUUAUUCGGCAUCACAGAUGCUUCACUUUUGUACCUACUCCGCCAACGGACCCGAGCGGUUGAUGGAUCAUAACUUUAGAAUUCGACAUACAAUAUCUCUUCCCUUUUGUUCCUGUAGCAGGGAGAAAUGCACCCAUGGAUGCUGCAAGUCCCAAGCAAACUGUUGACACGUCUGCGUUGCAUAACUUCAUGGCAUCAUAAAUUCCCAUUCCAGCAGUAACAGAAUCACCAGGUGAAUUUGUAAACAACUUGAUGUCUUUCUUAGGGUCAUCAGCAUUCAAAAACAAAAGCUGACUGAUUACAAAAUCUGCAGGUUACAUCAUCCAUCUGAGAACCCAAAAAGACAAAUCUUUGACGGAGAAACAUGUUGGUAGUGUCAAGAGUGUCGUUAGCAGUCAGACUAGCGAGAGCAUCUAUUUUGGUGAAGUGUUUUGCAGGUUCAAAGAAAAUCACGACUUGUGCCCAAAUGUGCUUUAAGGCAUAGUUCACUUGCAGCUUGACAUAAAUGCCGGAAAAAGAUGCAGGGUCAUGUACUGUCAUUCCCAUUGAACAAUUUACUGUCAACAUCUUAGUUGGAACUCCAGUUAUGUCUGACCCUUCCUUACACUUUUAUGUGAUUUUUCCUUUUAUUUCUACUAAUAAAUCUUUGAAUCUUCAUUUGGCAUUUGGUUUUGGGUACUGCUGCUGAUGAUGGAGCUGGAAGCAUUCCAACAGAACUUUGCGGAAGACCGACAGUCCUUGUUGGAUAGAUGAUGGUUUGAAGAACGGUGCAUCCGCUUUGAUCCACAAUGAUUUCCACCGUUGAAUGAAAAGUUGGCGGAACUAAUCCGACAUUGCAGGGCAUAAACGGUUGAAAAGAGUUUUAUCUGCUUGUGUUAAUUCAUGGAAAGUCCGGAUUGCUUUAGGUAAUAUCCUCUCUGAUUCACAUUUCUUUUUUUCACUUUCUGCUGUUUUCUUCAUUUCAAACUCUAGCUGUUUGCA
Molecule: long non-coding RNA, 1884 nt
Organism: Lathyrus oleraceus (garden pea)
Lineage: Eukaryota; Viridiplantae; Streptophyta; Magnoliopsida; Fabales; Fabaceae
Exons: 3
Source: RefSeq, a predicted model, not a curated record